Molecule: transfer RNA, 74 nt
Filed under: Planctomycetaceae bacterium
Lineage: Bacteria; Pseudomonadati; Planctomycetota; Planctomycetia; Planctomycetales; Planctomycetaceae
Description: tRNA-Asp
Rfam family: tRNA
About the family: Transfer RNA (tRNA) molecules are approximately 80 nucleotides in length. Their secondary structure includes four short double-helical elements and three loops (D, anti-codon, and T loops).
Source: RNAcentral
GGGGUCGUAGCUCAGUUGGUUAGAGCGCCAGCCUGUCACGUUGGAGGCCGCGGGUUCGAGUCCCGUCGACCUCG